CGAAACUUCUUUAUCACCGAGUGCUUGCACUCACCGAUAAAGAGUUGAGUGGCGAACGGGUGAGUAACACGUGGGCAACCUGCCCAAAAGAGGGGGAUAACACUUGGAAACAGGUGCUAAUACCGCAUAACCAUAGUUACCGCAUGGUAACUAUGUAAAAGGUGGCUAUGCUACCGCUUUUGGAUGGGCCCGCGGCGCAUUAGCUAGUUGGUGGGGUAAAGGCUUACCAAGGCAAUGAUGCGUAGCCGAACUGAGAGGUUGAUCGGCCACAUUGGGACUGAGACACGGCCCAAACUCCUACGGGAGGCAGCAGUAGGGAAUCUUCCACAAUGGGCGAAAGCCUGAUGGAGCAACGCCGCGUGGGUGAAGAAGGUCUUCGGAUCGUAAAACCCUGUUGUUAGAGAAGAAAGUGCGUGAGAGUAACUGUUCACGUUUCGACGGUAUCUAACCAGAAGGCCACGGCUAACUACGUGCCAGCAGCCGCGGUAAUACGUAGGUGGCAAGCGUUAUCCGGAUUUAUUGGGCGUAAAGGGAACGCAGGCGGUCUUUUAAGUCUGAUGUGAAAGCCUUCGGCUUAACCGGAGUAGUGCAUUGGAAACUGGGAGACUUGAGUGCAGAAGAGGGGAGUGGAACUCCAUGUGUAGCGGUGAAAUGCGUAGAUAUAUGGAAGAACACCAGUGGCGAAAGCGGCUCUCCGGUCUGUAACUGACGCUGAGGUUCGAAAGCGUGGGUAGCAAACAGGAUUAGAUACCCUGGUAGUCCACGCCGUAAACGAUGAAUGCUAAGUGUUGGAGGGUUUCCGCCCUUCAGUGCUGCAGCUAACGCAAUAAGCAUUCCGCCUGGGGAGUACGACCGCAAGGUUGCAACUCAAAUGAAUUGAAAGAA
This 885-nucleotide ribosomal RNA is filed under the name uncultured Bacillota bacterium. RNAcentral's name for it is "bacterial SSU rRNA". It matches the Rfam family "Bacterial small subunit ribosomal RNA", at positions 67 to 918 of the family's 1533-position model. Lineage: Bacteria; Bacillati; Bacillota. The record is from RNAcentral.